GAUGAACGCUGGCGGCGUGCCUAAUACAUGCAAGUCGAGCGAACAGACGAGGAGCUUGCUCCUCUGACGUUAGCGGCGGACGGGUGAGUAACACGUGGAUAACCUACCUAUAAGACUGGGAUAACUUCGGGAAACCGGAGCUAAUACCGGAUAAUAUAUUGAACCGCAUGGUUCAAUAGUGAAAGACGGUUUUGCUGUCACUUAUAGAUGGAUCCGCGCUGUAUUAGUUAGUUGGUAAGGUAACGGCUUACCAAGGCAACGAUGCGUAGCCGACCUGAGCGGGUGGUCGGCCACACUGGAACUGAAACGCGGUCCAGGCUCCUACGGAAGGCAGAGGUAGCGAAUCGUGCGCAAUGGGCGGAAGCCUGACGGAGCAACGCCGGGUGAGUGAUGAAGGGCUUCGGAUCGUAAAACUCUGUUAUGAGGGAAAAACAAAUGUGGAAGUAACUAUGCACGUCUUGACGGUACCUAAACAGAAAGCAACGGCUAACUACGUG
Molecule: ribosomal RNA, 497 nt
Filed under: uncultured bacterium
Lineage: Bacteria
Description: partial 16S ribosomal RNA
Rfam family: Bacterial small subunit ribosomal RNA
Source: RNAcentral